GCUAUGUUCGUGCCAGCGGGCGGGGUUAUAGUGAAGGUAGUGGGGGUAGUCGGAUUUUGUGUGGGUAAAGGGGAAGUAGGCCUGAGAUUAGGCGUGUUGUGAAAUGUAGAUGCUCAACAUGUGCACUGCGGCGCGAACUGGUUUCCUUGAGUACGCACAAAGUGGGCGGAAUUCGUGGUGUAGCGGUGAAAUGCUUAGAUAUCACGAAGAACUCCGAUUGCGAAGGCAGCUCACUGGAGCGCAACUGACGCUGAAGCUCGAAAGUGCGGGUAUCGAACAGGAUUAGAUACCCUAGUAGUC
RNAcentral lists this ribosomal RNA (300 nucleotides) under uncultured Mesoplasma sp. RNAcentral describes it as "partial 16S ribosomal RNA". It matches the Rfam family "Bacterial small subunit ribosomal RNA", at positions 496 to 795 of the family's 1533-position model. Lineage: Bacteria; Bacillati; Mycoplasmatota; Mollicutes; Entomoplasmatales; Entomoplasmataceae. The record is from RNAcentral.